Non-coding RNA from Felis catus (domestic cat), 85 nucleotides. The record is from Rfam. NCBI's taxonomy places the organism in Eukaryota, Metazoa, Chordata, Mammalia, Carnivora, Felidae.
ACCUGGGUGGCUCAGUUGGUUGAGCGUCUGACUUCGGCUCAGGUCGUGAUCUCCCAGCUUGUGAGUUCGAGCCCCGCAUCAGGCU